Molecule: ribosomal RNA, 492 nt
Filed under: uncultured bacterium
Lineage: Bacteria
Description: partial 16S ribosomal RNA
Rfam family: Bacterial small subunit ribosomal RNA
Source: RNAcentral
AGUGAACGCUGGCGGUAGGCCUAACACAUGCAAGUCGAACGGCAGCACAGUAAGAGCUUGCUCUUACGGGUGGCGAGUGGCGGACGGGUGAGGAAUACAUCGGAAUCUACUUUUUCGCGGGGGAUAGCGUAGGGAAACUUACGCUAAUACCGCAUACGACCUACGGGUGAAAGCAGGGGAUCUUCGGACCUUGCGCGAUUGAAUGAGCCGAUGUCGGAUUAGCUAGUUGGCGGGGUAAAGGCCCACCAAGGCGACGAUCCGUAGCUGGUCUGAGAGGAUGAUCAGCCACACUGGAACUGAGACACGGUCCAGACUCCUACGGGAGGCAGCAGUGGGGAAUAUUGGACAAUGGGCGCAAGCCUGAUCCAGCCAUACCGCGUGGGUGAAGAAGGCCUUCGGGUUGUAAAGCCCUUUUGUUGGGAAAGAAAAGCAGCAGGUUAAUACCCCGCUGUUCUGACGGUACCCAAAGAAUAAGCACCGGCUAACUUCGUG